RNAcentral lists this long non-coding RNA (734 nucleotides) under Ovis aries (sheep). RNAcentral's name for it is "lncRNA (ENSOARG00000025709.1)". Lineage: Eukaryota; Metazoa; Chordata; Mammalia; Artiodactyla; Bovidae. The record is from RNAcentral.
CUGCGGUCUCACUGCGCCGAGGCCGGGCGCCCACCCCCGCUCCCCGCCGCUGCCCCCGGGGGGCCGAGUGCGCGAGCGGUGCGCGGCUCCGGCCGCGUCCGCCGUCCCCGGCCCACAUCCCAACCGAGCCUGAGCUCCGCGACCUUGGACACCCGGUUGACCUCUGUGAGGCCUGUUUGCAAAGUGGGGCUAGUGGCACCCGCCGCCCUGACGUGUCGCGACGGUCGCCUAGGACGUGGGAAAGGGCCGUGCGGACCCAGGAGGUUUACGCCAGCGACGUUUUGCCACCAUGGAAGGGGUCUUCGUCGUCUUUGCUGCUCGGGCCAGCAGGGUUAGGGCUCAUCAGGGUUCCUGGCAAUCCUGCCACAGAGCGUUUGCCUUGGAAGGGAGGGUAGGAGAGUGGGAGGGGCCCAGGAGCGGCGCCUCCAGACCAGCGAGGCAGGAGGGAGCCAGUUCUGUUGAGGCCAGGGCCCAUGGGCGCCAUCGGGAAGCUCACAGACUGCUCGGAUGCUCAGCAAAAUGCAGCGAAGGGCAGUCUGCCAGCUUCUGCUUUCAGUUUCAGGGGGAGCUCAUCUGCGGGCCUCGGAGCCAGGAGCCCCUCGUCCCUGUGGGGCUCAGGCCAGAACCGAGAUGUCAGUGCGCCCCCGUCCUCCCGUGCGCGCCGUGCGUCUCAGAGCCCCAGGGGCCCUGGGCAUCGUCAACAGCGGGCCGCUCCCCCCGCUGGUGUGGAAGGU